Molecule: small RNA, 92 nt
Filed under: Rhizobium etli
Lineage: Bacteria; Pseudomonadati; Pseudomonadota; Alphaproteobacteria; Hyphomicrobiales; Rhizobiaceae
Description: sRNA Atu_Ti1
Rfam family: Rhizobiales sRNA Atu_Ti1
Source: RNAcentral
GUCCAAGAUACGGCGGACCAGAGCCAGAUGCCUGCCAAGGCAACGGCUGCAGCCGGCCGGCGGCGGGUCGUCAGAACUGCCAGGCCGGCUGC